RNAcentral lists this long non-coding RNA (1392 nucleotides) under Heterocephalus glaber (naked mole-rat). RNAcentral's name for it is "lncRNA (ENSHGLG00100029231.2)". Lineage: Eukaryota; Metazoa; Chordata; Mammalia; Rodentia; Bathyergidae. The record is from RNAcentral.
CCCAAGGGAAGAUGCAGCCCCUUCUGCCUGCCAGUGUGUGAUACCAGCUCCUGGUACCCACGGGGUGCAGGGCCCAGCAGUUUUCCCUGUUCAGGAGUCAGGUCUAAUCUACCUCCUCACUCAGUGUGAGAAAACUGGAGCCAUGAGUCCCAAACAAGCUGGGGGAGUCACAGGAAAGCUAGGCUGGUCUGAACUCAGGGGCUCUUGUUAGAUGGGAAGUGACCAGGAUCUUGAGUGGCCUUAAGGCUGGGGCCCCCCAGGAGGGAGGAUGGUUGGCUCUCCCAGUUGGAAAUUGCCUAACAUUCCCUGCAUUUCUGAGCCUGUCCUCCUCCAUCACUUGCUAAGAGAAUCAUAUCACAGGUGCUAGGAGCCCAUUCUAUAACAUGAAUCGGAAUGGAUUAAAAUCUUGUUUUCUUCUAAUCUGCCUUGCAAGGGUUGCUUGAAAAAUCAAAGGGAGGCACUUUCCAGGCAUAAAGCCUGUACUGUCUGGCUUGCCAUGCUACAUUCAGCUAAAGGGCAAUAACAGUGAUUCCCUUUGCUACUUUAGAAAGAGGAGUUUUAACUCCUCAGUCCGUCUGCAGGCCAGGGGCUUUUCAAACAUUUUCCUUAAAGCAAAGGAGGGAUCCAAGUAAGGAUUUUGUGGAUUUCUGCAGUGGAUGCUCAUUUGUGUAUUUUGCAAGAGCCAAAGCAUCCUGGUGGGCAUCUCUGUUACCCAUCCAGAAAACGGAAGGUUUUUCUGUUUUACAGUUUAACGAGCAUUUUCCCUCCUGCCUCCUCAGGGGAAAAAAGAAAAGAGAGAAAGAAAGCCCUGUGACUAGAAUUAUAAUGAGCCCCCAAAGGUGGUCCUUAUUAUCUUCUGUAACUUAGCAACAUGCUGGGGGAGCAACGAGGAGGGUUUGCAUUCAUUGGUGAGAAGUGGGUGGAAAGAAGGAACUAUGCCUGGUGCACCAGGUACAAUGCGAGGAGGCGUCUGUGCCUGCAGUUCUACUUCUGAGGAAGGAAGGAAAGAAGAGAAAUUGCAUCCGCAGUGAUGGGCACGAGACUUGUGAGGCUGCUACAAGAUCGAUCCAUGGGAUGCCCAGGGAAGGGACUUGGAACUGGUCUCUGCUCCCAGUGUAUGCAAUUUGCCUGCCAUCGAAUUUCCAGGAAGAAACACCCCACCUAGUUUUAUAGCUGGAGAUGAACUUGUGACAGCUGCCCUCAGAAUGUAUCUAGGGAGGUUUCUAGCGAAAUAGCCCAGGGCUUUGGGAACAUAUGGGUCAGAUUUUCAGGGCGUACAAAGUGGCAGAUUAACAGUUGGUAGAGGCAGGUUUCAAAUGAUACUUUGUGCUGACCUGAAAUCCUGGGGGGCAACAUGUAGUAGAAAUUCUCCUCGCAAACAUUCAAGUACAG